Molecule: transfer RNA, 74 nt
Filed under: Mammaliicoccus sciuri
Lineage: Bacteria; Bacillati; Bacillota; Bacilli; Caryophanales; Staphylococcaceae
Also listed under: 54 other names
Description: tRNA-Cys
Rfam family: tRNA
About the family: Transfer RNA (tRNA) molecules are approximately 80 nucleotides in length. Their secondary structure includes four short double-helical elements and three loops (D, anti-codon, and T loops).
Source: RNAcentral
GGCGGCAUAGCCAAGCGGUAAGGCACGGGUCUGCAACACCCUUACCACCGGUUCGAUUCCGGUUGCCGCCUCCA